CUUUGUUGCUUUUUGACUGACUGUUUACUUUUUGACUUGCAGAUCAUUCUUGUUGUGAGCAUCGUUGCUUUUUAGAGCUUCAAUAUUUGUUUCUUGCUCUCUUUCUUUUGCCAUUGGUGAAACAAUUUUGUGCAACAAUUUUUCAAUUAUGUCACCAUGCUUAUUUGUUUGUUAUAUUUCCUCUUUUUGCACCAUUCCUUCUUCAAUUUGUUGCUUCCUUGAUUCUAAAACUGGUUUGACAUUUUCUUUUUCUUUCUUUUAAUUGCUAUUGGUGGUUGUAGUGUCCGACAUCUUUUCUUCUACCUCUUUGAUUCACAAUUGUUCUGUUCUUUAGGUUAUGUCUCCCUCUUCCUCUGCCUUUGUAAUGUUUGUUUGUUUGGGUUUUUUUUUUUUUUUUUUUUUUUUUUUGCACUUUGCAUUGUUUCUCCAACUUCUUCAAUAGUGGUGUUAAUUUGUAGAUGAAUUGUCUCAUUCUUCGUAUGUGAUAUUUAUAUAUACUAAAACCCAAACUCGGGUGGCACUGUUCUAGAGCAGUGUGCUUCCUUUUUUGCCCCUGCUUGAUUAGUUUAAUUGCAUUUGUGCCAUGUUUCACACGUGUUGGUCAUCGUGCUCCCUUCUUUUUGUUUUUACUCUUCCAUACUCUUCUGGUGUAUUUUAACCCUGGUAUCCAAUAGAAGUGUCUCGACUUCUUCCUCAGAAAUCGCAGAAAUCCAAAAAGGAAAAAACUGUGCUCUUCAACCGAUUAGCAAUUUCGAUUCCGCUUCGUGAGAUCUGUCCGAUCUUUGCUUCCUCAUCUGUUCAAUCUCUUCGACGCGCCAUCGUGCUCCCAAUUUAGCCUUUGACAGGAAACAUUGGUCUUCGAAUUUUAAGGUUUUAUUGUACAGGCUUGCAAGCCCUUUCUGGGUGAGGAAACGUUACCGUUCGAAUUUUAUGGUUUUUGUAUAGAAGUUUGCAGGCCCCUUCUGAUUAAGAUGAUGAAGAAUAAAAGAAUUUAAAUGCGGCUUUGGAUGAUAAGUUGAUGUUGAUGACAAGUACUAUUGAUGAUACCCACCGUUUCUCAUCUGUUCUAAUGCUGCAGUGAAAAAUUUCUAGGAAAAACAAAAGGAGGUUGAGCCCAUCUACAUAGGGAGUCGAAAGAAAAAUUAAACUCAACAACUAGAGAAUGAGAAUGCGUCUGAUGAAAAAUAGGAAAUGAACACAUAUAAGGUUAUGCCACAAGGUGGACUUAAAAAGGAUCAAGUAUGCAGGGGAAUGGUAGGAUCAACAUAUCAAAGGUCUGCACGUAUACUGGUUGAUGAAAAGGAUUAGUGUCAAUGUACACCUUUCCGCAACUAUUUGUUUUGUCUUUUUCCCUCACUCUGUAUAAUUUUAGUCAAAUUGAACUACUUUUUAAAACUUGAGAUUUAACUGAAGUGCUAAGAACUUGGUUAAAUGAAAGUUUACUUUGGUUUGAUGACAUU
Long non-coding RNA from Pyrus x bretschneideri (Chinese white pear), 1460 nucleotides. RefSeq lists it as uncharacterized. The record is from RefSeq and is a predicted model, not a curated record. The transcript is spliced from 8 exons. NCBI's taxonomy places the organism in Eukaryota, Viridiplantae, Streptophyta, Magnoliopsida, Rosales, Rosaceae.